GGAGAGAUGCCAGAGCGGUUGAAUGGGGCGGUCUCGAAAACCGUUGACGGCUUUGUCGUCCCAGGGUUCGAAUCCCUGCCUCUCCGCCA
Molecule: transfer RNA, 89 nt
Filed under: Candidatus Eiseniibacteriota bacterium
Lineage: Bacteria; Candidatus Eiseniibacteriota
Description: tRNA-Ser
Rfam family: tRNA
About the family: Transfer RNA (tRNA) molecules are approximately 80 nucleotides in length. Their secondary structure includes four short double-helical elements and three loops (D, anti-codon, and T loops). Further hydrogen bonds mediate the characteristic L-shaped molecular structure. tRNAs have two regions of fundamental functional importance: the anti-codon, which is responsible for specific mRNA codon recognition, and the 3' end, to which the tRNAs corresponding amino acid is attached (by aminoacyl-tRNA synthetases). tRNAs cope with the degeneracy of the genetic code in two manners: having more than one tRNA (with a specific anti-codon) for a particular amino acid; and 'wobble' base-pairing, i.e. permitting non-standard base-pairing at the 3rd anti-codon position.
Source: RNAcentral